CUCAGAGCAAGGCCCCUUUCUCUUUAACUGAUUGGGUGGAUUGCCUGCCUUUUAUCCAUUACCUAUUCUUUAAGCUUUCUUUAUGGGCUAAUUUUCCAUGUGCCUAAUAUGCAUUUAUGUGUGUUUAUGCUCUUGCACAACACAUAUUUUUUGUAUAUUUUACAAGAAAUACCAAAUUAUUAAUUCAGGGACUCUCAAGUUACUGUUCUGUGCCUAAGGAAAGCUCCCAAGCUGUAAUGUAUAUCCUGAAUUUUUCAUUUUUGAGGUGAAGUUGUGAGAUUUAUCCCAAGCUCCAAAUAAAGAAACCAGUACAG
Long non-coding RNA from Chinchilla lanigera (long-tailed chinchilla), 314 nucleotides. The record is from Ensembl. NCBI's taxonomy places the organism in Eukaryota, Metazoa, Chordata, Mammalia, Rodentia, Chinchillidae.